This 110-nucleotide ribosomal RNA is filed under the name Pteropus alecto (black flying fox). The record is from RNAcentral. Lineage: Eukaryota; Metazoa; Chordata; Mammalia; Chiroptera; Pteropodidae.
CUCUACGGCCAUGCCACCCUGAACAUGCCCGAUCUCAGAAGCUAAGGGGGGGUCAGGUCUGGUUAGUACUUGGAUGGCGGACCACCUAGGAAGACCAGGUUCUGUAGGCA